RNAcentral lists this ribosomal RNA (586 nucleotides) under uncultured bacterium. RNAcentral's name for it is "partial 16S ribosomal RNA". It matches the Rfam family "Bacterial small subunit ribosomal RNA", at positions 355 to 1376 of the family's 1533-position model. The record is from RNAcentral.
UGGGGAAUUUUGGACAAUGGGGGAAACCCUGAUCCAGCCAUCCCGCGUGUGCGAUGAAGGCCUUCGGGUUGUAAAGCACUUUUGGCAGGAAAGAAACGUCGCGGGUUAAUACCCCGCGGAACUGACGGUACCUGCAGAAUAAGUACCGGCUAACUACGUGCCAGCAGCCGCGGUAAUACGUAGGGUGCAAGCGUUAAUCGGAAUUACUGGGCGUAAAGCGUGCGCAGGCGGUUCGGAAAGAAAGAUGUGAAAUCCCAGAGCUUAACUUUGGAACUGCAUUUUUAACUACCGGGCUAGAGUGUGUCGGAGGGAGGUGGAAUUCCGCGUGUAGCAGUGAAAUGCGUAGAUAUGCGGAGGAACACCGAUGGCGAAGGCAGCCUCCUGGGAUAACACUGACGCUCAUGCACGAAAGCGUGGGGAGCAAACAGGAUUAGAUACCCUGGUAGUCCACGCCCUAAACGAUGUCAACUAGCUGUUGGGGUCUUCGGACCUUGGUAGCGCAGCUAACGCGUGAAGUUGACCGCCUGGGGAGUACGGUCGCAAGAUUAAAACUCAAAUGAAUUGACGGGGUCAUAGCUGUUUCCUG